GGGUUGUGAGGUUAAGCGAAUAAGCGUACACGGUGGAUGCCUAGGCAAUCAGAGGCGAUGAAGGACGUGCUAAUCUGCGAAAAGCGUCGGUAAGGUGAUAUGAACCGCUAUACCCGACGAUAUCCGAAUGGGGAAACCCAGUAUCCAAUGGAUACUAUCAUUAACUGAAUCCAUAGGUUAAUGAGGCGAACCGGGAGAACUGAAACAUCUCAGUACCCCGAGGAAAAGAAAUCAACCGAGAUUCCCCUAGUAGCGGCGAGCGAACGGGGAGCAGCCCAGAGUCUUAAUCAAUAGCAGUGUCAGGAGAACGGUCUGGAAAGUCCGGCAGUAAAGGGUGAUAGCCCCGUAUCUGAAGAUGCUGUUAUUGUGAACUCGACGAGUAGGGCGGGACACGUGUUAUCCUGUCUGAAUAUGGGGGGACCAUCCUCCAAGGCUAAAUACUCCUGAUUGACCGAUAGUGAACCAGUACCGUGAGGGAAAGGCGAAAAGAACCCCGGCGAGGGGAGUGAAAAAGAACCUGAAACCGUGUACGUACAAGCAGUAGGAGCCUCUUUAUGGGGUGACUGCGUACCUUUUGUAUAAUGGGUCAGCGACUUAUAUUCUGUAGCAAGGUUAACCGUAUAGGGGAGCCGUAGGGAAACCGAGUCUUAACUGGGCGAAUGAGUUGCAGGGUAUAGACCCGAAACCCGGUGAUCUAUCCAUGGGCAGGUUGAAGGUUGGGUAACACUAACUGGAGGACCGAACCGACUAAUGUUGAAAAAUUAGCGGAUGACUUGUGGAUGGGGGUGAAAGGCCAAUCAAACCGGGAGAUAGCUGGUUCUCCCCGAAAGCUAUUUAGGUAGCGCCUCGUGAAUUCAUCUUCGGGGGUAGAGCACUGUUUCGACUAGGGGGUCAUCCCGACUUACCAACUCGAUGCAAACUGCGAAUACCGAAGAAUGUUAUCACGGGAGACACACGGCGGGUGCUAACGUCCGUCGUGAAGAGGGAAACAACCCAGACCGCCAGCUAAGGUCCCAAAGUCAUGGUUAAGUGGGAAACGAAGUGGGAAGGCUCAGACAGCCAGGAUGUUGGCUUAGAAGCAGCCAUCAUUUAAAGAAAGCGUAAUAGCUCACUGGUCGAGUCGGCCUGCGCGGAAGAUGUAACGGGGCUAAACCAUGCACCGAAGCUGCGGCAGCGACACAUAGUGUUGUUGGGUAGGGGAGCGUUCUGUAAGCCUGCGAAGGUGUACUGUGAGGUAUGCUGGAGGUAUCAGAAGUGCGAAUGCUGACAUAAGUAACGAUAAUGCGGGUGAAAAACCCGCACGCCGGAAGACCAAGGGUUCCUGUCCAACGUUAAUCGGGGCAGGGUGAGUCGACCCCUAAGGCGAGGCUGAAAAGCGUAGUCGAUGGGAAACGGGUUAAUAUUCCCGUACUGGUGGUAACUGCGAUGGGGGAACGGAGAAGGCUAGGUUGUCCGGGCGACGGUCGUCCCGGUUCAAGCAGGUAGGCAGAGUGAUUAGGCAAAUCCGGUCACUUAAUGCUGAGAUGUGAUGACGAGCCACCAAGGUGGUGAAGCAAUUGAUGCCCCGCUUCCAGGAAAAGCCUCUAAGCUUCAGGUUACCAACAAUCGUACCCCAAACCGACACAGGUGGUCAGGUAGAGAAUACUCAGGCGCUUGAGAGAACUCGGGUGAAGGAACUAGGCAAAAUGGUGCCGUAACUUCGGGAGAAGGCACGCUGGCGGUAGGUAAAGUCCCUUGCGGACGGCGCUGAAGCCAGUCGAAGAUACCAGCUGGCUGCAACUGUUUAUUAAAAACACAGCACUGUGCAAACACGAAAGUGGACGUAUACGGUGUGACGCCUGCCCGGUGCUGGAAGGUUAAUUGAUGGGGUUAGCGCAAGCGAAGCUCCUGAUCGAAGCCCCAGUAAACGGCGGCCGUAACUAUAACGGUCCUAAGGUAGCGAAAUUCCUUGUCGGGUAAGUUCCGACCUGCACGAAUGGCGUAAUGAUGGCCAGGCUGUCUCCACCCGAGACUCAGUGAAAUUGAACUCGCUGUGAAGAUGCAGUGUACCCGCGGCAAGACGGAAAGACCCCGUGAACCUUUACUAUAGCUUGACACUGAACAUUGAGCCUUGAUGUGUAGGAUAGGUGGGAGGCUUUGAAGUGUGGACGCCAGUCUGCAUGGAGCCAACCUUGAAAUACCACCCUUUAACGUUUGAUGUUCUAACCUAGGCCCAUAAACUGGGUCGGGGACCGUGUCUGGUGGGUAGUUUGACUGGGGCGGUCUCCUCCUAAAGAGUAACGGAGGAGCACGAAGGUUGGCUAAGCAUGGUCGGACAUCAUGCGGUUAGUGCAAAGGCAUAAGCCAGCUUGACUGCGAGAGUGACGGCUCGAGCAGGUACGAAAGUAGGUCUUAGUGAUCCGGUGGUUCUGAAUGGAAGGGCCAUCGCUCAACGGAUAAAAGGUACUCCGGGGAUAACAGGCUGAUACCGCCCAAGAGUUCAUAUCGACGGCGGUGUUUGGCACCUCGAUGUCGGCUCAUCACAUCCUGGGGCUGAAGUAGGUCCCAAGGGUAUGGCUGUUCGCCAUUUAAAGUGGUACGCGAGCUGGGUUUAGAACGUCGUGAGACAGUUCGGUCCCUAUCUGCCGUGGGCGUUGGAAGAUUGAGAGGGGUUGCUCCUAGUACGAGAGGACCGGAGUGAACGCACCACUGGUGUUCGGGUUGUCAUGCCAAUGGCAUUGCCCGGUAGCUAAGUGCGGAAGAGAUAACCGCUGAAAGCAUCUAAGCGGGAAACUUGCCUCGAGAUGAGUCUUCCCUGUCGCUUUAAGCGACCUAAAGGAACGUUUAAGACUAAGACGUUGAUAGGCUGGGUGUGUAAGCGUAGCGAUACGUUGAGCUAACCAGUACUAAUGAACCGUGAGGCUUAACCUGACAACACCGAAAGUGUUUUG
This 2930-nucleotide ribosomal RNA is filed under the name Proteus mirabilis. RNAcentral's name for it is "bacterial LSU rRNA". It matches the Rfam family "Bacterial large subunit ribosomal RNA". Lineage: Bacteria; Pseudomonadati; Pseudomonadota; Gammaproteobacteria; Enterobacterales; Morganellaceae. The record is from RNAcentral.